Molecule: long non-coding RNA, 882 nt
Organism: Leopardus geoffroyi (Geoffroy's cat)
Lineage: Eukaryota; Metazoa; Chordata; Mammalia; Carnivora; Felidae
Exons: 4
Source: RefSeq, a predicted model, not a curated record
UCAAGUACAAAGCUGGAAAGAAGAAUUGAUGCAGACAUUUUUGUCUUGUUCCUGAUUUUUAAAGGCCUUCUAACAUUUCACCUUAAAGAAUGAUGUUUGAAGAAUGACGUUUGCUGUAAUUAUUUGGUUAAAAAAAACUCUAUCAGAGCCUGCCCUACCCAGAGCCCAGAGUCCCCUGAGUCUUGUCCCAUCAGAGUGUUCAUCCACAUUCUUCCUCACACGUUGGAAACUCUAAGUAGGCCUCAUUCUUUAAAGUUUCCAGAGGCCAGUUUGGCCAGUCUGUGCUUGGUGACUGCUGGUUUGAUGAAUGAAUGCAAGCAUGCAGAGAUGGCCCCUGAGAGCCCAGGUGCAACCACUCUCCAGUCGGGCCAAUUGGUCACAUAAUCAAUGGCUGGACACGAUGUUUCAAACCAGGAGGCUUCUGAACAAGGCUGUGCACCUACGUCAAUUUUAGAUGCUUUUCUGAAUCUGCCAUUGCAUGAGGGAAUGCGGGAACAGACAUUGUAAGGGGAAGGAGCCACUCUGGACGGAGUUUCAGGCAGCCUGAGUUCACAUCCCAGCUUUUUCCCCUCCCCCUUCCUAGCUGUGUGGUCUUGGGCAAGUCACUUCACCCGCAAGAGACCUCACUUCCCUGAAUCGUCACAUGAAAAUACCAUCACUCUCACCACAGUGUUGUCACAAGGGGGGAUGAAUGGCUUGUGUGAGCCCAGCAAGGAGGAGGUACCCAGUUCACAUACAUCUCCUUCGGUUCAUGCACCAGGCUGGCUCCUUUUCUAGGAGAUUCCCAGACUUUUGUAGCUUGGAGACUAGGAAAAUCUCAAAAUAUAUUUUGAUGAGCCUAAGUUUGCCAACUUUUUAUUUUGCCAAGGAUAACAGUAUAUA